RNAcentral lists this ribosomal RNA (667 nucleotides) under uncultured Gammaproteobacteria bacterium. Its description in RNAcentral is "bacterial SSU rRNA". It matches the Rfam family "Bacterial small subunit ribosomal RNA", at positions 797 to 1463 of the family's 1533-position model. Lineage: Bacteria; Pseudomonadati; Pseudomonadota; Gammaproteobacteria. The record is from RNAcentral.
ACGCCGUAAACGAUGUCUACUUGGAGGUUGUGGCCUUGAGCCGUGGCUUUCGGAGCUAACGCGUUAAGUAGACCGCCUGGGGAGUACGGUCGCAAGAUUAAAACUCAAAUGAAUUGACGGGGGCCCGCACAAGCGGUGGAGCAUGUGGUUUAAUUCGAUGCAACGCGAAGAACCUUACCUACUCUUGACAUCCAGAGAACUUUUCAGAGAUGAAUUGGUGCCUUCGGGAACUCUGAGACAGGUGCUGCAUGGCUGUCGUCAGCUCGUGUUGUGAAAUGUUGGGUUAAGUCCCGCAACGAGCGCAACCCUUAUCCUUGUUUGCCAGCGAGUCAUGUCGGGAACUCCAGGGAGACUGCCGGUGAUAAACCGGAGGAAGGUGGGGACGACGUCAAGUCAUCAUGGCCCUUACGAGUAGGGCUACACACGUGCUACAAUGGCGCAUACAGAGGGCGGCCAACUUGCGAAAGUGAGCGAAUCCCAAAAAGUGCGUCGUAGUCCGGAUUGGAGUCUGCAACUCGACUCCAUGAAGUCGGAAUCGCUAGUAAUCGUGGAUCAGAAUGCCACGGUGAAUACGUUCCCGGGCCUUGUACACACCGCCCGUCACACCAUGGGAGUGGGCUGCAAAAGAAGUGGGUAGUUUAACCUUCGGGAGGACGCUCACCACUUU